UAGAGUUUGAUUCUGGCUCAGGAUGAACGCUGGCGGCGUGCUUAACACAUGCAAGUCGAACGUGAGUUCCUCUUCGGAGGAAUGAAAGUGGCAAACGGGUGAGUAACACGUUGGUGACCUGCCCCCCGGUGGGGGAUAACUCUGGGAAACCAGGGCUAAUACCGCGGAUGUCAAGACUGUUAGAGGGUCUUGACUAAAAUUACGAUGCCGGGGGAGGGGCCUGCGGGCUAUCAGCUAGUUGGUGGGGUAAAGGCCUACCAAGGCGCAGACGGCUAGGGGGCGUGAGAGCGCGACCCCCCACAAGGGAACUGAGACACGGUCCCUACUCCUACGGGAGGCAGCAGUGAGGAAUAUUGCCCAAUGGAGGAAACUCUGAGGCAGCAACGCCGCGUGAACGAUGACGGCCUUCGGGUUGUAAAGUUCUUUUCUCAGGGAAGAUGAUGACGGUACCUGAGGAAUAAGUCCCGGCUAACUACGUGCCAGCAGCCGCGGUAAU
RNAcentral lists this ribosomal RNA (496 nucleotides) under uncultured Chloroflexota bacterium. RNAcentral describes it as "bacterial SSU rRNA". It matches the Rfam family "Bacterial small subunit ribosomal RNA", at positions 1 to 524 of the family's 1533-position model. Lineage: Bacteria; Bacillati; Chloroflexota. The record is from RNAcentral.